RNAcentral lists this small RNA (27 nucleotides) under Bombyx mori (domestic silkworm). RNAcentral's name for it is "ovarian small RNA-26053". The record is from RNAcentral. Lineage: Eukaryota; Metazoa; Arthropoda; Insecta; Lepidoptera; Bombycidae.
UCAUCCAGCGUCUCCAAGAGACCCUCC